This 253-nucleotide ribosomal RNA is filed under the name uncultured bacterium. RNAcentral's name for it is "partial 16S ribosomal RNA". It matches the Rfam family "Bacterial small subunit ribosomal RNA", at positions 524 to 776 of the family's 1533-position model. The record is from RNAcentral.
UACGUAGGGUGCAAGCGUUAAUCGGAAUUACUGGGCGUAAAGCGUGCGCAGGCGGCUUUGCAAGACAGAUGUGAAAUCCCCGGGCUUAACCUGGGAACUGCAUUUGUGACUGCAUGGCUGGAGUGCGGCAGAGGGGGAUGGAAUUCCGCGUGUAGCAGUGAAAUGCGUAGAUAUGCGGAGGAACACCGAUGGCGAAGGCAAUCCCCUGGGCCUGCACUGACGCUCAUGCACGAAAGCGUGGGGAGCGAACGGG